AGAACGAACGCUGGCGGCGUGCUUAACACAUGCAAGUCGAACGCGAAAGGGACUUCGGUCCUGAGUAAAGUGGCGCACGGGUGAGUAACGCGUAGAUAACCUGUCUUCAUGUCUGGAAUAAUACGCCGAAAGGGGUACUAAUACCGGAUAUUCUUGCUUUUCAUAAGUUAUGCAAGCAAAGGUGGCCUCUGCAUAUGCUACUGCAUGAAGAGGGGUCUGCGUACCAUUAGCUAGUAGGUGGGGUAAUGGCCUACCUAGGCGACGAUGGUUAGCGGGUCUGAGAGGAUGAUCCGCCACACUGGCACUGGAACACGGGCCAGACUCCUACGGGAGGCAGCAGUGAGGAAUAUUGCGCAAUGGGGGAAACCCUGACGCAGCGACGCCGCGUGAGUUGAGGAAGGCCUUCGGGUCGUAAAGCUCUGUCAAGAGGAAAGAAGUGUACAAUGGCUAAUACCUGUUGUAUUUGACGGUACCUCUAAAGGAAGCACCGGCUAACUCCGUGCCAGCCGCGGC
This 513-nucleotide ribosomal RNA is filed under the name uncultured bacterium. RNAcentral's name for it is "bacterial SSU rRNA". It matches the Rfam family "Bacterial small subunit ribosomal RNA", at positions 26 to 518 of the family's 1533-position model. The record is from RNAcentral.